GGGUCUGUAGCUCAGGUGGUUAGAGCGUUCGCCUGAUAAGCGAGAGGUCGG
This 51-nucleotide transfer RNA is filed under the name Vibrio anguillarum. Its description in RNAcentral is "tRNA-Ile". It matches the Rfam family "tRNA", at positions 1 to 48 of the family's 71-position model. From Rfam's summary of the family: Transfer RNA (tRNA) molecules are approximately 80 nucleotides in length. Their secondary structure includes four short double-helical elements and three loops (D, anti-codon, and T loops). Further hydrogen bonds mediate the characteristic L-shaped molecular structure. tRNAs have two regions of fundamental functional importance: the anti-codon, which is responsible for specific mRNA codon recognition, and the 3' end, to which the tRNAs corresponding amino acid is attached (by aminoacyl-tRNA synthetases). tRNAs cope with the degeneracy of the genetic code in two manners: having more than one tRNA (with a specific anti-codon) for a particular amino acid; and 'wobble' base-pairing, i.e. permitting non-standard base-pairing at the 3rd anti-codon position. The record is from RNAcentral. Lineage: Bacteria; Pseudomonadati; Pseudomonadota; Gammaproteobacteria; Vibrionales; Vibrionaceae.